CCUACGGGUGGCAGCAGUGGGGAAUAUUGCACAAUGGGGGAAACCCUGAUGCAGCGACGCAGCGUGAAGGAUGAAGGAUCUCGGGAUGUAAACCUCUAUCAGUAGGGAAGAAAAUGACGGUACCUGACUAAGUAGCCCCGGCUAACUACGUGCCGGCAGCCGGGGUAAUACGUAGGGGGCAAGCGUUAUCCGGAUUUACUGGGUGUAAAGGGAGCGUAGAGGGUAUGGCAAGUCUGAUGUGAAAACCUGGGGCCCAACCCCGGGACUGCAGUGGAAACUGGCGAACUUGAGUGCAGGAGAGGCAAGUGGAAUUCGUGGUGUAGCGGUGAAAUGCGUAGAUAUUAGGAGGAACACCGAUGGCGAAGGCAGCUUGCUGGACGGUGACUGACGUUGAGGCUCGAAAGCGUGGGGAUCAAACAGGAUUAGAUACCCGAGUAGUC
This 440-nucleotide ribosomal RNA is filed under the name uncultured bacterium. RNAcentral's name for it is "partial 16S ribosomal RNA". It matches the Rfam family "Bacterial small subunit ribosomal RNA", at positions 338 to 795 of the family's 1533-position model. The record is from RNAcentral.